GACGAACGCUGGCGGCGUGCUUAACACAUGCAAGUCGAACGGAAAGGCCCUGCUUUUGUGGGGUGCUCGAGUGGCGAACGGGUGAGUAACACGUGAGUAACCUGCCCUUGACUUUGGGAUAACUUCAGGAAACUGGGGCUAAUACCGGAUAGGAGCUCCUGCUGCAUGGUGGGGGUUGGAAAGUUUCGGCGGUUGGGGAUGGACUCGCGGCUUAUCAGCUUGUUGGUGGGGUAGUGGCUUACCAAGGCUUUGACGGGUAGCCGGCCUGAGAGGGUGACCGGCCAAAUGGGGAUGGAGAUACGGCCCAGACCCCUAGGGGAGGGAGAAGGGGGGAAAUUUGCACAAUGGGCGGAAGCCGAAUGCAGCAACGCCGGGGGGGGGAUGACGGCCUUGGGGUUGUAAACCGCUUUCCCCUGGGACGAAGGGUGAGUGACGGUAAUGGGAAAAGAAGCACCGGCUAACUACGU
RNAcentral lists this ribosomal RNA (467 nucleotides) under uncultured bacterium. Its description in RNAcentral is "partial 16S ribosomal RNA". It matches the Rfam family "Bacterial small subunit ribosomal RNA", at positions 28 to 506 of the family's 1533-position model. The record is from RNAcentral.